Molecule: ribosomal RNA, 933 nt
Filed under: Bacillus sp. VT32
Lineage: Bacteria; Bacillati; Bacillota; Bacilli; Caryophanales; Bacillaceae
Description: bacterial SSU rRNA
Rfam family: Bacterial small subunit ribosomal RNA
Source: RNAcentral
CUGAGAUCAGCGGCGGACGGGUGAGUAACACGUGGGUAACCUGCCUGUAAGACUGGGAUAACUCCGGGAAACCGGGGCUAAUACCGGAUAACACCUACCCCCGCAUGGGGGAAGGUUGAAAGGUGGCUUCGGCUAUCACUUACAGAUGGACCCGCGGCGCAUUAGCUAGUUGGUGAGGUAAUGGCUCACCAAGGCGACGAUGCGUAGCCGACCUGAGAGGGUGAUCGGCCACACUGGGACUGAGACACGGCCCAGACUCCUACGGGAGGCAGCAGUAGGGAAUCUUCCGCAAUGGACGAAAGUCUGACGGAGCAACGCCGCGUGAGUGAAGAAGGUUUUCGGAUCGUAAAACUCUGUUGUUAGGGAAGAACAAGUGCCGUUCGAAUAGGGCGGCGCCUUGACGGUACCUAACCAGAAAGCCACGGCUAACUACGUGCCAGCAGCCGCGGUAAUACGUACGUGGCAAGCGUUGUCCGGAAUUAUUGGGCGUAAAGCGCGCGCAGGUGGUUUCUUAAGUCUGAUGUGAAAGCCCACGGCUCAACCGUGGAGGGUCAUUGGAAACUGGGGAACUUGAGUGCAGAAGAGGAAAGUGGAAUUCCAAGUGUAGCGGUGAAAUGCUGUAGAUAUUUGGAGGAACACCAGUGGCGAAGGCGACUUUCUGGUCUGUAACUGACACUGAGGCGCGAAAGCGUGGGGAGCAAACAGGAUUAGAUACCCUGCUACUCCACGCCGUAAACGAUGAGUGCUAAGUGUAGAGGGUUUCCGCCCUUUAGUGCUGCAGCUAACGCAUUAAGCACUCCGCCUGGGGAGUACGGUCGCAAGACUGAACUCAAAGGAAUUGACGGGGGCCGCACAAGCGGUGGAGCAUGUGUUUAUUCGAAGCACGGCGAAGAACCUUACCAGUCUUGACAUCCUCUGACAACCUAGAGAUAG